This 761-nucleotide long non-coding RNA is filed under the name Mastacembelus armatus (zig-zag eel). RNAcentral's name for it is "lncRNA (ENSMAMG00000026612.1)". The record is from RNAcentral. Lineage: Eukaryota; Metazoa; Chordata; Actinopteri; Synbranchiformes; Mastacembelidae.
AUGAAGGACUUCGGUUAUGUCUCCAGGUGUGUGUGAAACAGGAAGAUGAAUACAGCGUGUGGAGACAUGUCUGAUUUACAAAAACAUGUUUGAGCACUUUCAUGGGGAAGGAAUGUUUGGAAAGUUUUCUGAUGACUUCCUCCUCCUGAACCGCGCAGUGUGAUAGAGUUCGGUCUCCCCCUCCAUCGUCUACGCUGACUCCAGUAUCGCCUGCCUCCUGAGGCAGACGCGUUUCAAAGCGUUAGAGAACCGGAUUCCUUCACUGGUACCCCCGCGCCCUUCAGGUUAAAAUGGCAAAGCGGUUUUUAUCUGGCUUCUUGCUUGUUUUCUACUGUAUUGCUAACAUGGUGCUGCAAGUUUUAUCUGCUAACAUCGUCAAUGGAACCAGAGGAGCCUCAUGGAUCUGGCCAUGCCAUCACACCCUCAGUGAACCGCUCCAGACUGGAGAAAUCUCCAUAUACUGGCAGGGCCAAAAUAAUUCCCAUAUUGUUGUGCAUGUUUACACAAAGGGGAAAGAAGAUUUCAAGUACCAAAGCCAGACAUUUAAAAAUAGGACUAAAAUCUUCCCAGAUCAGUUAUCUUCUGGCAACUUCUCACUUGCCAUUGAGCCACUGACACUGAGAGAUGACCAGACCUUCCUGGAAGUCAUUCUUGCACCAGGAAACAGACCUAGCGAGAAGCUCUGCCAGACAAGUCUAUAUGUGGCAGGCAGCAAGGGGGGACUGGGUUACUUGCUAGGAGAAACUGACCAGGAUUACUGA